Long non-coding RNA from Ictalurus punctatus (channel catfish), 826 nucleotides. NCBI's taxonomy places the organism in Eukaryota, Metazoa, Chordata, Actinopteri, Siluriformes, Ictaluridae. The record is from Ensembl.
UCUUUCCCUUCCCUACCCAAAUUCUCUGAACACAGUGAAAAGCACAUUAUUUCUUAAACGCCCCACCCCCACCCCAAUUUACCUUUCGGCCUCUGUUGAGUGAUCUUUUGGUGCUUUCAACGCAGUCCUCCCACCCAUGCCAGGGACAGCUCAACAUCUGGCACCCGUCUCUCCCCACCGCUAUUGACAGCCAUUGAUAUGACACAGGUGUGAAUUCUGUUAUUUGUGUAGUGAUAAAGAAGAGAAGGAGGUCGAAAGCGCAGAGACAGGAGGCAGCUGUCGGCCUUGCUGUUUUUUGUUUUUUUUAAGUUUUUUUUUUAAUACAAUCUCUCCAGGUGCUCAGCCAAGGUCACGGGCAAGCAGCAACACCACGUGAGCCUGGGCCACAUGCUGAUGCAACACUUUUGGUGCAGGCGCAGAGAGGAAUUAGUCUUAGAAACUUUUUAUGAUUCUGGCGUCAUCACAACACGCAGUCAGUCAAAGCCCUCUUCGAUUCACGUGCGUCGGACAUGAGUACAGCUGAAAGCUCCAGGGUGUCAGCUGCUAGUGAUGGUAACAAGGGAAACAGAGCCAACACGAGGACACUAAAAGGGCAAACCAGUUGAUACCCCUGCAGCCGUGCUGAGUUACAGAGAAGCUUGGCCGGCCACAAGUCCUCCACCCUGUCAUACGAGACGGGCGACAGAUGCCAUGGUCUCCAGCAAGUUGCAGAAAAAAGGCUGCCUAAGCAGCUAUACCAUGUGCCAACUUGAGCUUGAGAGAAAUGCCAAAGCUCUAUGCUGAGGCAGACACUACUGCUAUUUGCUGGCUUAAUGUAACAGUAAGC